Solanum dulcamara is the source of this 1059-nucleotide long non-coding RNA. RefSeq lists it as uncharacterized. NCBI's taxonomy places the organism in Eukaryota, Viridiplantae, Streptophyta, Magnoliopsida, Solanales, Solanaceae. The transcript has 3 exons. The record is from RefSeq and is a predicted model, not a curated record.
UCCAAGUGUGAGCCCUCCAAAAAGAUGUUUUUAAGUUAUGUUUUUGGGCAAUCUGACUUGGGGAGACCAUAACGCCAUCAUGGCUCAGGAAUUUGGGAAACCUUAUAAAAUAAAAGUUGUAGAUAAUUGGAUUAUCUUUCCAACCAUAGGUUGUGGUAAUUUAUUCGAUAUCGGUAUCAAGAGAUAUGACAGUUUUACUGAACAAAGGUGCUGGCUGCGAAUUUUAAUUCCGAAUUUUAAAAAUGGCUCGACCGGUUUUCAAAUUUCUACUGAUAUAGAAAUAUUAAUUGAGAUUAGGGAUUAAUUAACCAUGGUUGAAUUAUUAAGUGGAAAUUUGAGAUUAAUUGAGAUGAAUUAAAUUAAAUAGUGGGAUGAAAAGUGAUCCCCACUGCCACAUGGCCAAUUCUAAUUGGCCCAUGCUUUAGUAGGGGACAUCUAGUCACCUUGGGCAGCACACAUGGUCUUCAUUUUGACCAAAAUAGCAGCCAAAAACGUGUCCCAACUCCAGAAUGUUCAAGAAAGAGAGAGAAUUCCUCAUCUUCUCCAAAUUUCCUAAACUUUUGAGAAAGAAAGAAUAGAGAGAAGUAACGAGAUAGAGAGGCGGACAAGCUUGAGAGUGAGGGAGAAAUUGAGGGAUUAAGUGUGGUGAUUAUUCAAGGUUAUGGAAGCAAGGAUGGAUCCAUUAGAGAAGCAAAAAAAAACAUUUUUGACCAAGCCCUCAAAUUUUCAAGCAAAUUGUUUCAUAAAAGCCUAAGGUAUGAGGCAGCAUAUACAUGUUGUGUGUGGAUAAACACUAAAGGUACCAAAGUUUGAUUUGCUGAUCCGCUGGUUUAGGACAUCUGGUGUGUUAUUGAUAGUGCUCCCUUGUUCGGAGCUUGUAUUUUGGUACUGACUUUAUCUCUGUAUAUUUGAAUAUGUUGGUCAGGGGUACGACGGGGCCCUGUCCUGUCAUAUGACUAUGCUAUCAUCUGUAGAGGUCUGUAGACAGAGUUAUGUUGUGGGUUUUGUAUAUAUGGUUUGGGUUUUGUGUAUUUUGUGACGGUCUAUCAACCCUCGUGC